CAACUUUGAAGAAAUAACUGAAGAAAACAUACAUGUCAGUAGAGGCGGCACUGCAUAAUUUAAUCCACUAUAAAAGCAAGUAAAAACAGGAAGCAUCUCAUUCACUUUCGGAACACCUUAUUUUCAACAUUUUUAUUUUCCAUCCAAAAAAGUAACAACUGAUAAUUUGGGUAUGGGUAUCUUUAUCCAAAUAGCUACUUUGAUGAUUGUUCAGCAGCUCUUCCAUCUGGCAAGUUGUGAAACUAUAUGCAGUCCAUCCAGACCAGUAAGGAACAGUGGGACAAGCCUCAGAUCACCGCACAGAUGAGCUUCAGCCGAAGUAUUCAUCAUCUCUUGAUACAGACCCCAGCGAAGAAGGAAACCCCGGGCCGUUGAACAUCUCGAAGUUCACUUUAGUGGGUGUUGGGGCCAUUUUUGGUGUUUUGGUUAUUGGGCUAUGGGGUGGCACUUUAAAACGAGGCAACGGAAACUUAUUUAAACAAUGCUGAUUAGCAGCAGGUGUUGUGCACAAAGAAGGUCAAUGGUUUUUAACUGUGGCACGUCAUGGUGAAAGUUGAAUACCGAGGCAAGAAUCAAGCAUUUUCUUUAUAAUAAAGAUUAAAGGACUUUAAUCUAUAUUAUGUUGACUAAUUCAAAGGAUUGGCAUAUCCAACUGGAAGAUUUUGUGUUUGUUAGUUUGUUUUUGGACUCACGCCAAGGAGCCACACGUACUAAACCGAUCCAACAAAGAAAUGUGCGUCAACAGUGGGCCUUAGCGCCCUCAGCAGACGUGCCCUCAGCAGACGUGUCCUCAAUCAUAUCAACUCGGUAGGCUGUGCUGAGGAAGUAGGCAAAUCUGUUCUGUCAGUAACUAUGUUGUAACUGUGCAAUUUCAUUUGAUGGUUGUAUUUUCAAACUUUACAGAAACUUCAGAUUUGACUCAUUUAUAGGAAUUACUGUAGUAACCAUUUCCAUUAUCUGAAAAAGUUAAGACUUUCUAAGAUAGCCUUGUUAUGUAUUUUAUACUGAAUUGAAACUGUAGAAUACAUUUUAAUUCAAACCUUAAUUUCAUUUUAUUGUUGCCGUACAUGGCUUGGGUAUGGGCAAGUUAAGAAUGCUUUGAUCUCACACUGUGCCUUUCAAUGGAAAAAUAAAAUCAAUCAUCUCUUGAAUCUUAAGGACAUCGGGGUAACAUCGGGGUUGGGUAACAUCCUAAGAACAUAACAAACAAAACAGAAACCAGUCUAUUGCAAGAGCAUGAAGUACUGAAAGCUUUCAUGCAGUCAUGUACAUUCUCUGAGAAUGAACCUAAACCUGUGCAGAGAAUAAAAAGCAUAAAACAUUA
Labrus bergylta (ballan wrasse) is the source of this 1324-nucleotide long non-coding RNA. RefSeq lists it as uncharacterized. NCBI's taxonomy places the organism in Eukaryota, Metazoa, Chordata, Actinopteri, Labriformes, Labridae. The record is from RefSeq and is a predicted model, not a curated record.